Humulus lupulus (European hop) is the source of this 516-nucleotide long non-coding RNA. RefSeq lists it as uncharacterized. The record is from RefSeq and is a predicted model, not a curated record. The transcript is spliced from 3 exons. NCBI's taxonomy places the organism in Eukaryota, Viridiplantae, Streptophyta, Magnoliopsida, Rosales, Cannabaceae.
AGGAAACUUAAAUAUAGGAAUCAUCCUUUUUCCCAUUAGAUCCGUGAUUAGUGUCUAGGUUUUAUAUUUAGCAAGGCUCACUAGUUGUUGCCGAGUAUAUAGAGAGAAAGAGGGAAAGAGAGUGCACAAGAGGAAGAGAAAGAAAGAGAGAGAGGGACUUCGGCUAGAGAGAGAAAGAUGAAAGAAAGAGAGAAGGAGAAAAAGGCUAAGGCUCAAGAUUUUCUAGGGUAUCCAAGGUGGUUGUGCUAUUGUGUCCUUGGACACAAUCAAAUGAGGUAGGCGUUAGGUUUCCUAUAUGACAUGCAUUGUGAUGUGAGGCAUUCCAAGAUCUGAGCAAGUAUCUUGUGGGGUGUCGAUGAACUAUUAAACGAUCUAGUUAACGCCAAUAACAUUUUAUGAAGUUAUUUAUGUUUCCUAUUAUGUUUACAGUGGGACUUUAAAAUUUUAUUUUCAAAUUGCAUAAAAGAUAUUAUAUUUUUAUUUUUAAAAAUGAACCCAUAUUGCAUGUUUUGUUAA